RNAcentral lists this non-coding RNA (261 nucleotides) under Virgibacillus sp. RNAcentral describes it as "T-box sequence". It matches the Rfam family "T-box leader". Rfam says of the family: Uncharged tRNA acts as the effector for transcription antitermination of genes in the T-box leader family. The record is from RNAcentral. Lineage: Bacteria; Bacillati; Bacillota; Bacilli; Caryophanales; Bacillaceae.
CAAAUGACUUGGAUGAGGGAAAGUAGGAUUCAGCUAUUUUUGACAGAGAGCUUCGGUUGCUGGAAAAGAAGCAAGAAUACGAAUCUGAACAAUGGCCUCGGAGUUUCGUGCUGAAUGAUGAGUAGGUUCCGACGAGAUUUGGUACUCGUUAUCAAUACCACAGUAUAAAUAAGUCUUAUGACUAACGUACUUGAUGAGGCUGUAUGUGUGAACAUACAGUAAAGUAAGGUGGUACCACGUUAAACCAACCACGUCCUUACC